RNAcentral lists this long non-coding RNA (1021 nucleotides) under Brassica rapa (field mustard). RNAcentral describes it as "long non-coding RNA (BRAP_LNC007078)". Lineage: Eukaryota; Viridiplantae; Streptophyta; Magnoliopsida; Brassicales; Brassicaceae. The record is from RNAcentral.
AUUCAUUUACAAAUUAGACAUGAUUCACAAAUUAAAAUAUGGUUUACAAAAAAAUAUGUUUACAAAUUUAAACCAGUUCACUAAUCUAUCCCUAAUUAAAAAAAAAGAAACUAAACCUACUGAUUUGCUCUGGCUCAACAAGGCAGAAGGCGUGGGGGUUAGCUCUAAAUGGAGGCGGCUGCUUCUCGAGAAAAGACUUUUGAUUCUUCUCAAGCAAUUUCUUACUGCUUCGAGAAGGGCUAUCACGGCUGAGAAGAGGGAAGAUCAAGUUGAAGAGAUACGUGACGCAACCACUGUCUCACUGCUUCGAGUCACACGACGUUCUCUGCCUCUCAUUCAUAGUAUCCUUUAAAAGUGGCUAUAGUUAAGUUAUUCUUUGCAUAUGUAUAUAUGUUUGCAUUCCAUGAGAAAUAAGAAAUGAAAAGAUUACCUUUGACAGGAAGACAAGUAGUUACAGAAGAAAAACAGAGACGGGGAUACUUUGUACAAGCUGUUCCUUCCAUAAAAAUUGCUCUCAGAAACUGUUCUUCUAUCUAGGAGAGUUAUACACGAGUUUUGCAUUGCACAUCCAGAAACUAAAACGAUUAGAUAGAUCACGAGUCAUGCUAUUCGCAAAUACAUAUUAGACCACAAAAGUGGGUCAGCAAAACAAGUGAUAGUUUGAGUAAAGACAAAUCCUCAAAGCCAUAAAAAGUUACAAUGACAAGAUUUGUGAACAACAGUUGCGUAUAUGUGUUUUCUUAAGCAUUGCGUUUCUUUCAACUAAAUGGUUUCGGGCUGUUGCUAUCAACAUUCUGGCAAGUGGCAAUAAGCUCAAUCAUGCAAGUCAUUGUUCAAGAUAUAAAAUUGCCUAACCUUGUCAAGAUUCUGAGCAGUGAGAAGCAACCAACUGAAUCCUAAAUGGACAGUCUUUGUUUUCAUCACCAGCUGAAAAAUGCAAGCAUGUGUUAGAAAAUCAAAUGAAAGCAUGAUGUAAGAUUAGCGCCAAAGUAUAUUUGUUCUAACAACUAAAACAGAACCA